UAGCACCUAUUUGCAUGGUCACUGAAGUUAAGCAACUUUGAGUCUGGUCAGUACCUAGAUGGGUGACCACUUGGGAAUAUCAGGUGCUGUAAG
This is a non-coding RNA of Acanthosepion pharaonis, 93 nucleotides long. The record is from the annotation of a GenBank genome assembly. NCBI's taxonomy places the organism in Eukaryota, Metazoa, Mollusca, Cephalopoda, Sepiida, Sepiidae.